AGGCUGCAGUCGAGAAUCUUCGGCAAUGGGCGAAAGCCUGACCGAGCGACGCCGCGUGCGGGACGAAGGCCUUCGGGUUGUAAACCGCUGUCGGGAGGGAUGAAGUGCACGGGGGCUAUCCCCUGUGUUUGACAGAGCUCCGGAGGAAGCACGGGCUAAGUUCGUGCCAGCAGCCGCGGUAAUACGAACUGUGCGAACGUUAUUCGGAAUCACUGGGCUUAAAGGGUGCGUAGGCGGCGCUGUAAGUCAGGUGUGAAAUCCCCCGGCUCAACCGGGGAAUGGCGCUUGAAACUGCAGUGCUUGAGUGAGGUAGGGGUGCAUGGAACUUCCGGUGGAGCGGUGAAAUGUGUAGAUAUCGGAAGGAACGCCGGCGGCGAAAGCGGUGCACUGGGCCUUGUCUGACGCUGAGGCACGAAAGCUAGGGUAGCGAACGGGAUUAGAUACCCUAGUAGUC
RNAcentral lists this ribosomal RNA (454 nucleotides) under uncultured Planctomyces sp. RNAcentral describes it as "bacterial SSU rRNA". It matches the Rfam family "Bacterial small subunit ribosomal RNA", at positions 346 to 795 of the family's 1533-position model. The record is from RNAcentral. Lineage: Bacteria; Pseudomonadati; Planctomycetota; Planctomycetia; Planctomycetales; Planctomycetaceae.